GGACUACCAGGGUAUCUAAUCCUGUAUGCUACCCACGCUUUCGCAGUUGAGUGUCAGUACUUGUCCAGGUCGCCGCCUUCACCUCUGGUGUUCCUCCCGAUCUCUACGCAUUUCACCGCUACACCGGGAAUUCCACGACCCUCUCCAAGACUCCAGUCUCACCGUUUCUGAGGCACUUCUUGAGUUAAGCUCAAGGCUUUCACCUCAGACAAAUGAGACCACCUACCUGCCCUUUACGCCCAAUAAUUCCGAGCAACGCUUGCACCCCUCGUAUUACCGCGGCUGCUGGCAC
Molecule: ribosomal RNA, 292 nt
Filed under: uncultured bacterium
Lineage: Bacteria
Description: partial 16S ribosomal RNA
Source: RNAcentral